UUUUUAUUUUUUUCGGAUGUACAUCAUAUUUCAAAUUCUGGAUACAUUACAUCAUGUUCACCACCCAAACACUAAUUAUAGUGCAUCCCCUCACAUGUGACCCUAACCACCCCUUUUGCCCUCCCCCCUUCCCCAAUGGUAACCACCAGUCCAAUCUCCAAUGCUAUGUGGUGGGGUUUUUUUUGUCAUUUUUAUCUUCUAUUUAUGAGUGAGAUCAUAUGGUAUUUGACUUUCUCCCUCUGACUUAUUUCACUCAGCAUAAUACCCUCAAGGUCCAUCCAUGUUGUCACAAAUGGCUGGAUUUCAUCAUUUCUUAUGGCUGAGUAGUAGUCCAUCGUGUAUAAAUACCACAUCUUCUUUAUCCAUUCGUCCCUUGAUGGGCACCUAGGUUGCUUCCAAGUCUUGGCUAUUGUGUAUAAUGCCACAAUGAACAUAGGGGUGCAAGUAUUUUUAUGCCUUUGUGUUUUCAAGUUCUUUGGAUAAAUACCCAGCAGGGGAAUAGCUGGAUCAUAUGGUAGAUCUAUCCUAAAUUCUCUGAGGAUACUGCAAACUGCUUUCCAUAGUGGCUGCACCAGUUUGCACUGCCACCAGCAGUGAACAAGGGUUCCCUUCUCUCCACACCCUCUCCAUCAUUUGUUGUUUCCUGUCUUGUUAAUUAUAACCAUUCUGACCGGAGUGAGGUGAUACCUCAUUGUAGUUUUGAUUUGCAUUUCCCUGAUAGCUAAUGACGUUGAGCAUCUUUUCAUAUGCCUAUUGGCCAUCUGUAUAUCUUCUUUGGAGAGAUCUCUAAAUUCUUUAAAUGUAUUAAUUUAUUUAAUCCUACUAACUCCCCAGGAAUAGGUACUAUUAGAGUCCAUAUUUAUAUAGACAAGGAAACUGAAACAAAAGAAGUUUAGUAAUUUGUACAUUUCCUGCAGAUUCUGUUUGGAAGACAAGCAGUUAGACCCCAGAAUUCAUGUUUUUAAUUAUCAGGAUAAGCAGACACAUACAAAUGCAUAUUUAUCUGAUAAAUGUACAUUUAUCGACCAGGACAUUUUCAUGUAUAAAUUAAGCACUGAGAAGGCCUUUUAAUAUUCACUGAACACAUUGAAAUAAUUGUUCAAAGAAUUGAAAAAAAUUGUUCCAAACUGAGACUAGUUUGGAAAAUCUGGAGCAAGAUAAUCCACUGAGAUUUGAACACAUUAUGUUAAAGAUUUUUUCCCUUCUUUUCUUUAAUGCUGUUUGGAGUUUUCAUGAGCUGUGACGUCUCAAGGGAACAAGUCAAAGUAUUCUUGCAGAAAUUCUGAAUACCACUAAAACUAGCUGUCAACCAUAAAUCAGUAUCUAGCUAUUUUCCAACCUAUUUAUAAAAGUGUAGCUGUGAAAUACAUCUAAAAUACAAAUCUGAGUACAUUUAUCUGAAGAUGGUACUUUUAGCAAUAACCUUUCAAACAAACAAAUGCCAUCUGUCAAAAGCAGAAUAAUUGCAGUGUGUCAAAAUGUUGGGGGUGGAGUACUUAAGUUACCCAUGUAGCUGGUAUGAUAAAUAGUGGAAUUUCACCUGAUGUCAGCUCCACUCCAGCUACCCCAGCGCUUAAUGCUAGCACUAGCUCAGAUCUGGUUUUUACUGAAAGAAGAAGAAAUGUGUCAGAACCAGACAGUGUUUCUGGAUUUCCAGUGAAUACUCUCAGAGGUUCUAACAUUUCAUGCUCAAGAUGAAUUCAAGACUCCAAGAUUAACUCUAGCAUAUGUUCCACAUCAUAUUCUGAAUCAAUUUUCUCUUCAGAGGUAUUAGCCUCUUGUCCUGGAAAUUACACAAAUGCCACAUGUUUCUGAUGCCCCUUUCUAUGUUCAUUCCCAGCAGCUGCACAUUAGUUUCAUUAAACAAAAUCAACCAGGAAAAAUGAAUACAAAAAGAACUUUCAGCCUCUUUGAAGCUCAAGAUUUAUACAAAAGUAGAUACAUGCCAGAACCAUAUGAGGUUCUGAGCAAAUGCAGGUGUCAUUUAUUGGUAUUCUUUCAUUUGACAACAAUUUUUGGAUCACCGAUUCAUUGUCAUAUACAUUCAAUUGGAAAGCUCUAGGCAUUUUGUUUAAUUAUAGUCGACCACCUGAUGCAUAUAGAAAAAUCUGAUCUCUAUCACAAUUCAUAGUUCUUAAGUAGAAAUCUGGGAUAAUCUAAAAUAGAGAUAGAACUCUGCACUGUGUGUGAGGGGAAAAAAAAUGCCACAUUAUGUUCUAAUUUCUAGGUACAGAGAAAUCCUCUGAAUUCUCUACCAAAAAGAAAGCAUAGCAUUUAAGAACAACAGCGUUGCAAGUUCUGCUCAAUCAUUUUAGCUAAACAAAGUCUUGAUUUCAAGCAUUUGAUGUAUACAUAACAAAAGAAAUCUAGGUAGACAGUAGUGUUUUGUUUUGUUUUGUUUUUUUGAAGAAGAUUAGCCCUGAGCUAACUGCUGCCAAUCCUCCUCUUUUCGCUGAGGAAGACUCGCCCUGAGCUAACAUCCAUGCCCAUCCUCUUUACUUUAUAUGUGGGACGCCUACCACAGCAUGGUGUGUCAAGCGGUGCCAUGUCUGCACCUGGGAUCCGAACCAGCGAACCCCAGGCCGCCAAAGCAGAACGUGCGCACUUAACUGCUGCACCACCAGGCCAGUCCCACUAGUGUUCUUUAAAGAAGACAAUUGAAUAUCCACACUGAUUGGUAAAGGUAGCUACUAAUUCUAGCAUCAUGCCGUAUUCCAAAGCUGAAAAACAAUAUUGUUUCUCUUAUAAGCAAAACCAAAAUCAAAAGGCUACUGUUGAACAAUUUAUUCUGUGAGCUGUGGAUUUCAAAAAUCCACUUUGUAGAAAGGAGUUAGGGUGCAAUUUGCAAGGUUUGGGGCACUCUGACUUUUUGCAAAUUGUGUGCAGAAGUCGAGAUGGCUCCGCACAAACCUGUGUGUAGUUAGCAUCGUCAGCUGCUGUCUACUGAGUCAUUCCAUCUAGUGUGCUGAGUGCUUUGUACAUCACUUCUAAUCUUAACAACAACCUUUCAGAUUAAGAAACUAAGGCAAAGAAUUUUAUACACCUGCCCCAGAGCCAUGUGAUGCUGAAGAAUGUUGGCAGGCCCAAAACCUAGAUCUUCUGACUGUGAAGCUGACCUCUUUCUUCUAAAUCAUGUUCCUCCCAAAUGUGCAGCAGUGACCAUCCUAGUGCAAAUCACUCAAUAUAGCUUAUGUCUUCAUUUUUUAAAGCCACAAAAAGAUGUGAUAAAGAUAUUAACUAGAUUUAUUGUGAUGAUCAUUUCACAAUAUACACAAAUAUCAAAUCAUUAAGUUGCACACUGAAGCUAAUAUAAUGUUAUACGUCAAUUAUAUCUCAAUAAAAAAAGUGUGUGAUGAAAUUAUAUUACGGCUGAUCUAAAAUUCCUGGCAAAAAUAACAAAGUCAGUAAAAAAAAUAAAUAACUUCAAAAAACGAUGGAACAGACAGCAAAGUAUUAUCCUAAUUGUUCCCCCUAACCACUACAACUGAUUACAUUAUCAAAAUCAGAACUAUUCUAGUAAAAGUUUCAUUUAUUUUGGAUUCCUUUCUCCUAGUUUAACUGGGAAUUCCCAGGAAGAAAACUGGAUGAAAGAGAGGUGAGAUAUUUUCUCAAAGUGAUAGCCGUUCCCUUCGACUAACACAGUCAGCACACUAACCACUUGACUCAUGAAAUGAUUUACUUAUUUAAAAUAUGCAUGUGCCUUGGAAGGCAGAAAAAUACAUUUAGUAGACCUAUGCAGCAACAUGAAAUAUGUGUGUAUGUUUGAAGGGAUGGGAUAUAUAGAUAUACUGUAGUCCCCCCCUUAUCCACAGGGGAUAUGUUCCAAGACCCCCAGGGGAUGCCUGAAACCACGGACAGUAACGAACUCUAUAUAUACUGCUUUUUCCUAUACAUACACACCUAUGAUAAAGUUUAAUUUAUAAAUUAGGCACAGUAAGAGAUUAACAACCAAAACUAAUAAUAAAAUAAAUUAUAACAAUAUACUGUAAUAAAAGUUACCGUAGAUCUUAGCAACCUCGGCAUACAAUUUUUUCUUCUUUUUUUAUUGUCAAGAACUUUCACCUUUUUACUUAAAGGAAACACUUUAUGGCUUCUCUUUGGCAUAUCCAAAUUGCCAGCAUCACUACUCUUGUGCUUUGGGGCCCUUAUGAAGUAACUAAGGGUUACUUGAACACAAGCACUGCAAUACCGAGACAGUCAAUCUGAUAACCGAGAUGGCUCCUAAGUGACUAAGUUGCAGGCAGCAUAUCCAGCAAGGAUCUGUCCGACAAAGGGAUGAGUCAUGUCCCAGGCAGGACAGAGCAAGACAGCACGAGAUUUCAUCAAGCCACUCAGAACGGCGCACAAUUUAAAACUUAAGAAUUAUUGAUUUCUGGAAUUGUCUAUUUAAUAUUUUUGGACUGUGAGUGACCCUGGGUAACUGAAACCAUGCAAAGUGAAAACACAGAUAAGGGGAGACUACUGUAUACAUCAAGUGAUUUUAUAAAGUGCACAAUUUGAAAAUUUAAUAAUGGAAAUUUUAAUAAUAAUGAAUAAUGGAAUUUAAUAAAAUUUAAUAUCAACUUUGAGUAUUAAUGUUCAUUUUAAUCACUAUCUGCUCCCAGGAAAAUGUCAGUUGUUGAUCCUUUUGUGUAACAUAUAUAUAUGGUUUCUGUGGUAUUACUUUGACAUGUUAUGAAAUUUUCCCCUAAAUUACAACAGUUUCAUCAUUUUUCAUUGUACUUUCUUCCUGCAGGAUUGUAUUUCACAUGGUUACUGGUUCAUCCGUGAAAUCUUUUUAAGAAAAUGUACCGGCAGACCUGGGCGAAUUACCUGGCUACCUCCUAUCACACCUGCUCCUUUCAGACCCUUUUUUUUUUUUUUUACAGAAUCUGUAUAAAUCUGUCUCCUCAUCAAAACCACACACUUUGAAUAAAUUUAAGAUUGUGCUCACAGAGGCAGUUCAUGAAAUCAUUCAGCACCAAAUGGAGAAUAUCCUCAAUGGCUUAGAAAAUCAAAAUGAACAGUGCGUCACUAAAGAUGGUACUUGUGCUGAAGUCUGGAUAUUUGAAUUGGAUGGUGUUAAAAACUCCAUGAAAAUAGGUUUGCAUGAGAUGUUUAAAGUUUGCUUCUAUGAUGUACAAAAAGUUAUCAAAUUUUAAAAUUGCAAAAGGAAUUUAUAAACACCCUGUAUUUGUAAAAAUCCCACCAAACACCUCAGAGGAUCUCUCUCCCAGGAUUGGCAAAAUGGUAAGAGAAACCUUAACUAAAUUAGGAGUCAGGAAGGCCUGUAGGGGGAGCUGUCAAGCCCUAUCAUACAUGCUCGAUUACUUCAAAGAGACUUACCUUGCAUGUUGGACAAGAAGUAGAACUACGUUACUACUGAAGGAAGAUUUGUCUCUCUACCUGGCAACAACCCAGCC
Equus caballus (horse) is the source of this 5402-nucleotide long non-coding RNA. Lineage: Eukaryota; Metazoa; Chordata; Mammalia; Perissodactyla; Equidae. The record is from Ensembl.